RNAcentral lists this ribosomal RNA (406 nucleotides) under uncultured bacterium. RNAcentral's name for it is "partial 16S ribosomal RNA". It matches the Rfam family "Bacterial small subunit ribosomal RNA", at positions 30 to 526 of the family's 1533-position model. The record is from RNAcentral.
AUUGAACGCUGGCGGCAGGCCUAACACAUGCAAGUCGAACGAGUGGCGGACGGGUGAGUAAUGUCUGGGGAACUGCCCGAUAGAGGGGGAUAACUACUGGAAACGGUAGCUAAUACCGCAUACCAUCGGAUGUGCCCAGAUGGGAUUAGCUAGUAGGUGGGGUAAAGGCUCACCUAGGCGACGAUACCUAGCUGUUCUGAGAGGAUGACCAGCCACACUGGGACUGAUACACGGCCCAGACUCCGACGGGAGGCAGCAGUGGGGAAUAUUGCACAAUGGGCGCAAGCCUGAUGCAGCCAUGCCGCGUGUAUGAAGAAGGCCUUAGGGUUGUAAAGUACUUUCAGCGGGGAGGCGUUACCCGCAGAAGAAGCACUGGCUAACUCCGUGCCAGCAGCCGCGGUAAUAC